Molecule: non-coding RNA, 873 nt
Filed under: Lepidophyma sp. DMA-2020a
Lineage: Eukaryota; Metazoa; Chordata; Lepidosauria; Squamata; Xantusiidae
Description: partial small subunit ribosomal RNA
Rfam family: Bacterial small subunit ribosomal RNA
Source: RNAcentral
CAUUUUGGUCCUUGACGCACUAUUGUUUAUAACCCAAAUUACACAUGCAAGCCUCUACGUCCCAGUGAGAAGCCCAUAAGACUGAAGACAGGAGCCAAGGAGAUGGCAUCAGGCACGCCCUACUGCAGCCAAUAACGCCACGCAAACUGCCACACCCACAAGGGCCCCAGCAGUGAAUAACAUUAAGAGUAUAAGCGAAAGCUUGACUUAGUUAAGGUUAAGAUUGGCCGGUAAAUCUCGUGCCAGCCGCCGCGGUUAUACGAGAGGCCAAAACAAGAGCAUUCGGCGUAAGGGGUGACCCAGGCGAGCCCACCACAUUAAGGGGGAACUACUUCCAAGCUGUGAAACCCAUAAGAGGCAAGAACCCCGCUAACCCUUAAUAAAAAGGCGACCUAAAUUCACGAAAGUUGGGAAACAAACUGGGAUUAGAUACCCCACUAUGCCCAACCAUAAACCUAGACAGCUAAAAUAACUCAAGCUGUUCGCCAGAGGACUACAAGCAAAAGCUAGAAACCCAAAGGACUUGGCGGUGUCCCACAACAAACUAGAGGAGCCUGUCCCAUAAUCGAUAUUCCACGGUACACCUCACCACCCCUUGAUAGUUCAGCCUAUAUACCGCCGUCGCCAGCCUACCGCAUGAGAGCACAGUAGUGGGCACAAUUGCACGCACAAGUACGCCAGGUCAAGGUGUAGCCAAUGUGGUGGAGGAGAUGGGCUACAUUUCCAGUACGGAUAACACGGAAGGCCAGCUGAAAACCCAGCCAGAAGGUGGAUUUAGCAGUAAAAUAGACAAGACACACUACUUGAAGAAAGCCCUGGGACACGCACACACCGCCCGUCACCCUCCUCAAUGCACCAACUACUACAACUUAU